This is a long non-coding RNA of Oncorhynchus tshawytscha (Chinook salmon), 3671 nucleotides long. Lineage: Eukaryota; Metazoa; Chordata; Actinopteri; Salmoniformes; Salmonidae. The record is from Ensembl.
UUGAUAUAUAAAACCCCAUUGAAUCAACGUGAUUUGGGUUACGUUACAUUUUAAACUUUUUUAGAGAUUUCGUAUAUGAUCAGAAAAUGUAUUAAUCUCCCGGCGUGGUCACUGUGCGCUGUUAUAGUUGGCGUAAUAGUGUAUGUUGUCAUGACAUAAUAUAUGAGCCUAUGACGCAAACGCAGUCAACAAAUUAUUAAAUUGAUUGGCUCAGUUGAGUUGAUAGUUUGCAUAGGACAGUCAUCCUCAUGUUCAAAGACAUUACUUUGCCUGGACAAGAUAAUUCUGUGUAACUGUCCAAUCUGAAGGAUGUCUUAAAAUAAAAUGAGUAAAAGUCAUAAACGGUUGAGGAGAGUUCGUCUAAAGGCUUGGACCCUCCAAGCUAGUGUUGGAGAACAGGUGCCCCAGACAGACGACCAUGGUGGACCAAGGCUGCCAGUACUGGUGGACUGCACCAAGAAGAGCCCCCUGAAGAACUUUGUGCCGAAGCCCCCACAAGGCCCCAGGCUGAGCAAUCAGGCAAUGAUGGCCAAGGUUGAAAAGAAUGCCAGAGAGGCCAUUGAGCCCAGAAGGGCUAGGGAGGCCAAUGCAGAGGCAAAAAAAACAAGCCGCCAAGUCAUUGGUGCGUUGGCGCUGCCUCCACCUCUUCUAUCUCCGACAACCAGUUACAGUGUCCUGCCAGCUAUCAAGAAGGGCACUAAAGUGACGAAGGUGGAGACAACAGAGCCACCAGACCCCCUGACACCUGAGGAUGAGGUGAGAAUGAACUCCUCUCCAUCUGUUGAUGACCCCCUGACCCCAGAAACCCCAGAGACUGAUGUCACCUCCGAUGCCACUUCUCUGGCGGACCCACCCCGUGAGAUGACACCUGAGAAUGUAGAGGAGGCCUUCUCUCUGGAGGACUUCCUGAAGUCUCACCCUCAGUGGAAGCUCAUCAGGAAGUUCCUCAAACAAAAGAAUGUGACCAUAAAAGACCUGGAGGACAUGUCCUAUGUGGUCCUCCUGCCAGCAAUGGCUCUGCUCAGGAGCUACAGUCCAGAGUCAUCCCACUCCUCCUGCCGAGGGUCAGGGGUGCUGAAGAUCGUCUCGGAGAUGUUCCACUGGCGGAGCUCUGAGCCGAAGGGGAGGCUCUGGGGCGGGCAGCCCCCCACGUCCAAUUCUGAGACAGACAAGGAGCUUCAGGGUAUAGCAGACAUGGCUGUGAGUAACAUCCUGAGGAAUGCCCAGGACGACUUCUUCUCCUCUGGUGUGAAUGACCUGGAGAUGACCAAUCCAAACAUCACUCUGACCAAAGAGAGGCUCUCCAGCAUCUUCUCAGAGCUGUUCAGGGAUGCCUGUGAGAGUGCCCAGGAGGCUGCCAGACGGAUCCACCACAUGAGGUCUGGAAGAGGUAACAACAGCCGGAAUGGGAGUCGGCCUGGGUCGUCACAGGGAUCGAGCAGAUCCAACAUGCCAGAGUUGCCGUUAAACCUCUGUCAGCUGGCAGAGUGUGUGGAUGCUCAGCCACUAUAUCUGGAACAUCCAAGUGUGUCCUGCUCCAACCGAAGUGGCCUGCACCCCAUUCCAGAGCAGGGCUGGAUGGAGGAGCAUAUUGGCUCAGCCCUAGGUCAGUUGUCCACCAUUGAGGCAGACAUGGGCGAGUUAGAAAACUUCACCAGACCUCUGCCACUGGAAAAUGGAGACGACAGCUCAUCCAACAUGUUGUCAGGGCCAUCCACUGCCUCAUAUCCAUCCACCUGCCUGUCUUCUCCAGAUGUGACCUCAGAGGGAAGGGCCCACUACACCAUUAUGGCCCUGGAAACCCUCCAGGAGGGGGAGGACAACAGCUGGAGUCGCUCUGGGUCAUCACAGAGAUCAAGACGGUUCAACCUCUGUCAUCAGGCAGAGGAGCUGGAGAGGGUUUACCUCCAGAGAGACACACUCCACUCCAGGGUCAGUGUGGGAGAACUGGGGUCAGUGAGGUGGGCCAAGGGAAGGGAUGUCCAUAAAGCCCUCAGCGAGGGGUCCCUCCCUGUCUUUGCCCUGCUCAGGGAGAGGCCAGGGGAGAUUUGGCCGACAAGCACUUGGGACAUGGCGCACAACCAGCCUCCCAGCACUCCCACAUCCAGCAAGGAGGAUUUGUGGGACAGUGACUCCACCUGGUCUCAUGGGGUUGGGGAGGAGGAGGGGGCAGAGCCUCGUGUGAGGUUGGCAGCUAUGUCAGAGGGGGGCAGCUCCCAGAUCCUGACCUCCCAGACCUCCACCUCACUCUCCAAUCACGACAAGAGGGCACUAGAGGCCAUCUGCCAGGUCCUGACUGCCUGGAUGGAACAGAUGCUGAACCGGACCUGCAACAACAUUUACAGUGCCAGUGUCAUCAUCCAGAAAGGAUUGGAUUCUGGUGCCAGGGACAGUUUCCCUGACACUCCGUGUCCUUCUUCAUCAGAGGAAGAAGAUGAGGUGGUCGCGAGUGUCAUGACUUUCUUACACUCUGAGCCCUCCACCUCAACCAAGGCAGCACAGGCAGCUCCUGCAAAGACCCUGGCGGUCAACCCCUGUCUGGAUGAAGAUGAGGUAGUCCCCAGCACCUCCAUGAUUGAGGGCUCCCUAACGACCACUCAGGCAGCAUGGGCAGCUUCUGCACAGAUCUUGGAAGAAGAGGUUGGGGGAGCUGAUGUCUCUGAGGUGAGUAUCGGCUCCCUGACCCCCACCGAGGCCAGGCAGGACCUCCUGGAGAAGAUUCCCUCUCUCCUGCCGGGUGAGAUCCUCAUCGAAGAAGACAUCCCCCUUCUCAGCACUCCCAGGGACACUGUUAUGAGCCCCCAGACCCUGAAGCUCAUCCUCCAGGGCAUCAUGCGCCGACUGGAGGCCUCAGAGUCCCCCCGGGCUAGGAGGGCCAAUGACCCCUUCAGGCUGAUGAAGGAUCUCUUUCUGGAGGUCCAGCAUGCCCUUAAGUAUGCUGACAUCUCUGUCCUCUUCAGCCUGGAGGAGAGCAUUCAAUUCAGGGGGGAAGAUGCAAUGAAGGCCAUCGUUAAGGCUGCGGCUAAAAGGUUGUCCCUGCGCUCGGACUCCAACCGGGCUCAACUGCGUGCCGUACGCUAUGGUGGCGAGGGAGCCAUCUAUUGCAUGGCAGACACCAUCGCAAAUGUCAUAGACGUCCACGCCCAGGACUGGAGUUCUGACAGACAUUUUGGAGCAAGUAGGAGCCGUGGUAGGGGGAGGUCACGCUCCUCCUCAAGCUCCUCAAAGAGUGACAUCACCCUCACAGAGGAACUCUUGGCCCAGGGGGAAAGCCUGGAAGAGGACCAAGAGGAUAUGGCUGCGAUCGACGACAACAAGAAAUGUGACUCUGCUAGCUUGGAGAAGGCCAGCAGCAGCUCCCUCUCCAUAGACCUUGUGGACAGCACCUCCACACAGACAGGGAAGGACGAGGCAGUGAAGGAAGGAGUGGGGAAGUCAGGAGAUUGGAAGCGUGGUUGCAAGAAGACCCUGAAGAAGAACAAGAUGGCUCCCUUUGGCACUGAUGAUACCGUGGCUGAUGAGCCGGAAAAAAAACAGUGUCUCCUCCUGCGGAUUACAGCUGCCCUGGCAAACUUAUUUUGCUUCCCCUGCAAAAAGAGAAGUGGUAAAAAGUUCAAGCCAUGAUGAAUCCCUCCAUAGCCCAGCCCAGACCUAUUUAAUUAAAUAAACAU